CUCUUCUUCUUCGUCUUCUUCUUUGGUUUCCUUUCCCAAAUUUCCAUAUGAAUUGUUCUCUGGGUCUCUGAGCAUGGUUCUUUUUCUCUUACUGUUGAGGGUUUUGGGCUAUGGGUUCUUGGUAACGAGGGUUUCAAGCUUUGGCUAAUUUGCCAAAUUUUGUUGCAAUUUUUUCCUUUUAUGAAUCUUUAAGAGUAUUGGGUAUGAUUAGAGCAACUAAUUUCCGUUGUAAAUUGACUUUGUUGAAUUGGGGUUACAGGGUAGUUUGAAUUGAUGGGUUUAUUCUACCGUGUUCAUGGCUUCAUCUCUGUUUAUUGGUUUCUGCAAUUUGGGCUAGUUCCAUUACAUCUUGUUUCUUUUCCUGCAUUUCUUUUUUACUACUAAAAAUGGGUUCUUUUGAGAUGGGGGCUUUGGUUUAACAAAAGGGUUCUACAAUUGGGUUCUUUUUUUGAUGGAAGGAUCAAUGAGCUUUUUCCAGGUCUUGGUGUCAUGUACAGUUGUUGUAAGGGUAAAGAGUUAUGAAUAGAGAAGUUAGCUACUGCAAUACAUCUCAUUUUGUUUAGUUGGGGACUUGGGUGUAGUAUAAAAAUGGUUACUACUCUUCAUGGGUUCAUCUGUUCUAUUGCCUUAUCUAUUGUGUUACUGUUGGUACUCCCAGAAAUUUUAUUAGGAACAUAAUUAGGCUUGUUAAUUGACAACUCUGCAUAUCAUUAUGUUGGUAUCAUCUUAGUGGAAGUUUUGGAUACUUAAACAUAGGUUCUCCCAGAUGUGACUGUGAGUGACAUUGAGAUGCUUAGAAUCACUAUAGAGCAGCUAUUAUGGAUUUUUAAACGUAUCAAUGCUGUUAGACAGUUGUGAAUACAAGUGCCUUAACGAUUUACUAUCCUUCUAGGUUCUGGAAAAUUGCAUUGCAUUGGGUUGAGAAUAGACAUGGUGAUUGAAAAGUCAGUGCCUCCCUUGGCAUCAUCAAAAGGAACUCUGUCACGAAGUAAUGUUCCUUUUCAGGAAAGAUUGGGAAGGUUUCCAAUGGAGAUUGGCGAGUGCUCUUCCCAUACUAAGCCACCUGAGGGUAAGAGUACUCAUAGACGCUCUGGUAUUUGUGAUGUUUCAUUAGGGAGUGGACCAAGAGCUCGGGUAAGCAGUUUGAGACCUAUCAGAGAAGCGGCUUCUGUUGGUAUUUCAAAGGAAGAGAUGGCUACAGGAGAAGAGUCUCAUAAUGAAGAUGGCAUGCGAAUGAAGGUGAAAGCUGCUCAGCGCUCAUUUUGGUUUGCUUUUAGAACUCUAAAAGAUGAUGAUCCAAAGGGUAGGAGGUUUGAUGCUAAGGCGGCAAAGGUUGUCAAGGCAAGUGGACGGUCUGUGAAUGAAGGGAAGCCAAUAAUUGGGAUUGUGCCGGGUGGUGAUGUUGGUGACGAUUAUACAUAUAGAGCACAACUCGGUGUAAUUGGGUUGCAUAGACCAAUUAGGGCAGGUAUUGAUUUUGUUAGGCAUGGUGGCAAGAGGCUUGCCACUAGCAUUGUGGCCUCGGGAAGCUAUGAGGAUGACAUCAAAAAUAAGAAGUCUAUCAAAUACACUGGCCAUGGGGGCAACUACAUGAAUGAAGAGAAGAAGAAAUAUGAUCAAAAGUUAGAGAGAGGAAACCUUGCUCUGAGGAAUAGUUUUUACAUGAAAAAUUUGGUGAGGUUGAUUCAUAGGAUCAAGAACUCGGAUGGUGAAUACAAGUAUGUUUACAAGGGACUGUUUUUGGUGACCAAGUGCAGCCGGAAAAGAGGAAGACAUGGAAAGCUUUUAUGGGAGUUUCACCUUGUUUUCAUUCACAAGGGUUGAGAAGCUCUGAUUUGUAACCCUCUCUAUGUUUAUAGAUCUCUCUCUCUAUGCUUAAGCCACCAUGUAUAGGCUCAUUAGGCUUUAUGGUUCAAAUAUAUUGUUUAGCAUUCAUGUACUUGACGGGAUGUUAGAAUAUACUAGAUUUGCUAAUGAGAUUUUUCAGAACUUUGGCAGCCUAGCUAUUAUUAUUUUGAGACGAUUUAUUGCUGAAUGGUUGUGUUAUGCUUCAUGCAUUUCUGCAUAUAAGGCUUUAAGUUUAGUUUUCUUCUUUUCUUUUAGUGCCAACUCAAGAAGAAGAAAAAGGUGUUGCUUCCACCAUGUGAUAUGUGUUAGAACAUAAUGCACAUUGGUCAAUAAGUAAUCUACUAGAUCAAUGAAGAAAAGCCUAGAAUAAUGCUGUAAUGAUCAUGAGAUGUAAUUAAGUCCUAGAGUUGUCUAGAGCUAGCAAAUGAUCUAGCUUGAUCUAGACUAAUCCAAUAGGUCGGUGGCUUAGUAACAAGGUCGGUUGACAAGUCAUAUAUAUACAUGUAGUAAACAGUAAACACAAUCAGAUGAGUGAAUGAAUUAAUGAAGCAAGCUAUUGAAGUAUAGUAAUUCCUCCUCUGUUUCCAUAUCCCUCUAUCUUAACCUCCUAAACUACUUGUCCUAAUAACAAACCUUCUCUCAAGUCUAGCUCCUAAACACCUUGUCCUAAACAUAUUGUUCUAGCCCACUACAUUCCAAACACUUCCGCAAGCUAAACUCCGAUUGUGGUAAUAAGCCACAAACUCUAAAAGUGGAACACCCACAAUAAUUUCUAACAAUGGUAUCAGAGCCUAGUGCGAUGAAAGCCUUGGAGCGUUAAAUUUAUCAGAGCUUGCUUCGAUCAAAUUUAGACGUUAAAAUUGUCCACCGUAUCUACCUCCACCUCCAACCAAUCAUCAAUUACUCUUCCUAUCUUCAAGGGGGAUAACUAUGACUUUUGGAGUAUCAAAAUGAGGACUUUCUUCAUGUCUCAAGAUCUAUAGGACAUUGUAGAUAAAGUGUUCUCAACUUCGGAAAAUCCAACGCUGGAGCAACUACGACAAGAAAAGAAAGAAAAGCAAAGAGAUGCGACGACACUAUUUGCAAUCUAACAAGUGAUGGACGACACAAACUUUUUAAGAAUCAUGGGAGCUACUACAUCAAAAGAAGCUUGAGAUCUACUAAAGGAGGAGUUCCAAUUAAGGAACUCAAAGGCACAUUCCCUCAAACUACAAACAAUGAGGAGAGAAUUAAAAAAUAUAAAAAUGAAAGAUUUUGAGAUUGUAAAAGAUUAUUAUUCUCGCAUUAAGAAAAUAGUAUAUCAAUUAAGAAAAUAUUAAUGAGACUAGAGUACUAGAAAAAAAAUACUCAUUAGCCUCACUAUAAAAUAUAAUCCAAUAGUUACUGCAAUUGAAAAUUUUAAAGACAUUUCACACAACAAUUUGCUUCUCGUAUCGACGAAUUAGAAGAGAUGUUAACCGGCAACCGUAUUUGGAAACAACGAUUAGUGGAUAUUGGUGACAAAAUUAAUAGGUUAUGUUUGAGCCCAAUUUUAUAUUCUGGUUAUCUUGUAAUAAGUUAGCCCAAGGGCCAAUACCUACGGUCCAAAUAUCUGUAUAUCAUUAGAUAUCUUAAGGAUUCGGUUAUGUGAUUUGAGUAGGAGAAUAUCUCUCAUGAUUCGAUUAAGAAUCUGAUUGCCUUGAUGCGCAAGUCAUUCGCGAACCUAUCUUAUAUAAAAGAGGUUCUAGGGCAAAUAAGGAAAAGGACGAACAAAUCAACAAACCCUUGCACCCUGCAUAUUAGACGCCUCUCCAGGAGCACCCAAUCUACCAAAAAGCCUCUUCAGGAGCACCAUCAAGCCUCAUCGCGAGCAAAAAUCCGCUUCACUCACCAAAAGCCUCGAUCAUGAGCAAAGCCCGCCCCCAGACCAUAAAGCCUCAAUCACGAGCACAAGCCCACCAAACCAUUGUUAUAGAGCCCCUCUCUAGCAAAUAUCCCUUUUAUUUUGUUGUUGAAGUAAAUCCUAGGGGUUUCCUUAUGUCGUAAGAAAGAAUCUAGCAGCAUGAUUGACCGCUCUUGCUUAAAAGUAUCAAGACUAGAUAGUUGCACCAACUCAGAAGUGCUGACAUGCUACACAAAGCCGGUUGUUUAAAGAAAGUCAAAUUUCACCCCGAACAUAUUGGCACUGCCCAAGCGGGACAUAUCAGUGGCAAGAUUGCGUCCGACAAUAUCUAUGAAAGGAAUUAUCUAUGCGUUCCUUACCGGAACAUUUGCACUGCAAACCUCACAAUCCACUGAAGUGCAAAAGCUUGACUAUUGAGCAAGUCAAUAAGCGUAUUCAGUUUAGAAACGAUGACUGGAGGAUCUGGAGUCAAGAAACUUGUCUCUCAAUAGCAGCCACAUGAUAUAGUUGAUCAAAUCCGUAGCAUGAAAGAAGAACUAAUCAAAGAGCAGGAAGAGAUGAUGUCAAUAGUUGCGGAUAUCUUUGAAGGAAUCAAAAGGAUGGAUGACCAAGUUUCCCGGCUUUGGGGCAAGAUGGAAAGUCACUCUGAAACUAUCCAAGAGCUCAAGGACAUUGCUGCCAAAUUGAAUGCAAUUGUCGUUGACAAGGUUCUUUGCAACACAGAUAAUAGCUCAGAAGGGAACGUUGUGUUGCAGCGAACACUUUUCCCGGAUGAUAAACUUGUGGAUUCCAUAGCUUCCAAAUCUCCUACUCUCAAAACCGGAGGACAGAUAGUGCUCAAUGUGACUCCACCAAAUGCCGGUCAAGUGAGGCCUCAUGUUAAUCCAACCUUCCGAGACCGAAUGUAGAGGAGCCAGUUGUGCAACCAGCACAAUAGGUAGGCGCGAAUAUAAUCAAUCUGCCUGUGGAUAUCCCAUCUCUCAUGGAAUAGAUGAUGCAGUGUUUUAGAGCUGAGGUAGCAGCACCUGCUGUGAACCUCACGUACAAGAAUCCUUACUCUGAUUAAGUCGCGAAGGGUCAGAAGAUGCAGCAACUUAUAUCUCUAGGUUUCAAGGCAAAUAAAGUCCCUUCAGGAACGAUGCUAUGUUGAAAUUAAAAUUUUUUGGUUCGUCCUCGGGUUCAGCUCUGACAUGGUAUACUAAAUUGAUACUUGGGUCUAUCCCUAAUUGUCCCACUAUGGAACCAAUGUCCAGAACCACUUUUGGUAAUCACUACUUCUUACUGGAUAAAUGCUGUUGGAGAUUUCACAUGAUAGAAUCAAUUUUUGCUUCUUUAACUGUUAGGAGAAUUGCAGAUCAACAGAAGUUUUUGAUACCAAAUCGUGUUGAAUUGAAUCGUUGUUGGUACCCUUUGUACUAGAAUCUACAUAGAGAGCUAUAGAGCAUAUUGGAUGUCAUGUUUUAGUUGUUGCCUUACCCUAUCAUUCUUGGUUGCUAGAUACAUGCCCUUCUUGAAAGGUGUUCAGGGUCUGGCAUUGCUAACUAACAGCUCUAGAAAGACCCCAAGGGUGGACAACUUCUAAGUUCUAACCCUGUUGUUCAUGGUCUAGUGAGUGGAAUAUUGGUAAGGAGUUUAGCUCUGGUUUUCAGCAUUUGUUCCAGAAGUGCUGCAGCUAUGACUCUAUACUUAGGAGAAGGUAUAAUGGACUUAGAAUUACUGCAACUUCAAAACUAUACUUGGGAGAAGGUAUUGCGCAAGACACUAAAUUUGAAAUAUAGAAGACGAAACAUAUAGGAGGAUAUAGUUAAUUUACAACUUUACAUUACAUUUAUACAUAUAUAGAGUAUAGUUCCUGACAUGAUCAGUACUUUCUUGCACUAGCUAACAUAAUCCAGAUUGCGAAAUAGACAGUACUAAUGCUACAUUGUUGGGCAUGGCUCACAGAGUGACCAAUUAUUACAAUUAACCACUUGAAAUAGCUUAGUUAACGAUGGCUGACCAACCACUUGGUAUCGGCAAAGAGGACAUACAUGAUUGUUUUUGAGCCAGUUGACAAUGCAGUCUCCAUGGAAACGGUGUGAGCAAGGCAACCGAGCAACUACCCUCAAAGGGGGUGGCUCUUUUCUUGGCGUCUUAGCGAUGGUGCCGCUACUGCUUUGUAGUCCAAGCAGCCUCUUGCUCUUCCUCUUGGGCUGUUGUUUGAAUUGUUUCUUGCCUUUUUUAUCAACUAGGUCCUCCAUACAAAUAACACAAGAGUCUUCAAACCCCAAGAAGCAGCCAUCAACUCUCUCUUUCUCCAUACCCUCAACUGAUGAUAUCGCAUCGUCUAGAAAAGCAUCGCAAGCAGAUGUGAACAAGCACUCCUUCACUUCCACUAUGUCGACAUGAAUGACAGAAGCUGUUGAGGCCACUGCUGGAUCUUCUUUUUCGGCCACCCGGAAUACUUCUUCAAUACAAGAUCGUCGUACAUGAUCGGGGAGUGGCUCCUCCUUAAAUCGGCGUGAAAAGAAGUCGACCAUUCUCCAUGUAUACUCACUCCUGUUGGAUAAUAGCUCGCUUCGAGGAAGAUCAGAGAUGACGAGUUCGUCACCUUUAUGGUGGUAAGGUAUGCCAUCAGACAUGGUUUUACCAGGUUUCAAGGAGACUCCCAUCUUAGUGUAGAUCUUUAUCUUGAUCUCAACCGAGUCCUCGCCUUCCCAUCGAUUGGGGUCGCUUGUGAGCCACACUUCGCUCUCGAAUGAACGUUUCUCAAAAUACAUGAUUGCUUCCACUACCAGAAUAUGGAAACAAUCUGUAGUCGACGAUUGCUAUUAUAUAGGCAUGCUAGCUAGGUAGUCCGAAUUCGACGAGGACUACAAUCCUAAUGCUGUUAGGGUUUAGCUAAAAGGAUUUUUGGAGAUUUCCGAAUGGGAAGAGGAUUCCGCUUUUAUAGCCAGCGUGGACCUAACUCCUAAGCAACCAAGUAAAAUGCGUCCCAAAGAAAAGAAAAAAAAAAAAAAGGAAAAAGAAUAUAAAAUCGGUCAAAAUGACCCCAAAAAAGAAAAAGAAAAAAGGAAAUAUAAUCGCAAUUAUAUAUGGUCAUUCUCAUUGUAUAGGUGUCAACCAGCUGUGCUUUGUGGCCACCGCAGACCACAAUAACGAUUCUCUGUUGCCCUCCACUGUUGCUCUCCUUCAACUCUAUAUAGCAACCUCACCCUCAUCUUCCAUCCCUUAUUCUCUUCCCCUACUACUUCGUCUUCAACCCUCACUUUCCUCUGUUGCAUUUCACUCUAGCUCAUUCACACGUACGUACGAGGCCAUGGCUCUCACACCUGCCAUGCUCGCCCUCACACUCUCACUCUUCCUCCUCCUAGCUUCAUUCUCCACAGCUCAACCACCCUCCUACUCCCCAACAUAUGCUCCCAUGACCACUCCCUCCACACCUGCGCCAACAACCACCAUCACUCCGCCACCGACCGUUUCAGCUCCUCCUCCCAUGGUCACUGCCACUCCGCCGACCAGUAUGCCUCCUUCAAUGCCUCCGAUGACUUCCACCAGCCCUCCUUCAAUGCCUCCAAUGACUUCUUCUACUCCUAUGCUCAGCCCUACAAGCCCAGCCCCGUCUACUAUGAUGAGCUCGCCGCCUGCACCAGCCGCACCAGGUGAAUCUCCCAUGGCGUCUACUCCAGGUUCAGGUGCAGUUGUUCAUGGAGUUAACAUGGCCUUGCAGCCAUUCCUGGCCGGAUCAGCUAUUGCUCUACUACUCCUUGCUUGAUUGAACUUAACGUACGUAGAUUUAUAUUGCUAGUAUAUCUGUGUAUCCUCUUUACAUUUUUGUUCUUUUUUUCCUUUUGUCUAUUUUUUUUUCUCUUUUGUUUGGUUAGUUCUGAUUUUUGGGAGCUCCAUUGUGAUUUCUAAGAGGAGAUUUAUCGGAUGUACGUACGUAUGUACUUAUGUUAAUAACGUACUCUUCAAUAGUUUGUAGCAUUUUUCAUAGAUGAAUAAGAGAGCCCGGCCGUCAUUCUUGUUUUGUGUAUAGAAGUGUGUACUAAUCAAUAAUUACAGUUGUUUACCUGCAUAGUUAAACUGCAAACACCUAAAACCUAAUCGAUCCUGUAUAUAUGAUCGGGUUCAAUUUACAGUUCGAUCGCCUACCACUCAUACCCUAGCUGGUACAGCAUUUCUAUAUUUCAUUUCAAUAUACGUGAUAAUAAUAAAUUGGGUCUGGAAAUUCAAAAUUUACUUCCCAACAAUAUCUCCAACUGUAUAUGUAUAUCAAAAACCCUAACACUCUUAGAGUUGAUCAAUGAAAUGGUGGUUGGGUUGUUGAAAUGGGUGGAUAGAGCAGUGAUAUUUCUGUGGAAAUAUCAAUGGAACAUAUAUGAUAGUGGAAUUUGUACAUGGUGGGGAAGGAAUGGGAUGAGAAAAUGAUAAAGUUAGGUGCAGCAUUAGCUAGGGUAACUAGUAAAGGAAUAAUGUGUGGAAGAAAUGGGAUAUGGUGAAUUGCAUAUUAGGAUAGGAUACAUGCGCGCAUGCAUUGCGUUCCAGCUUUGCUUGGUAGUCUUGUUUGUGAUCUUUUUAUGGUGGGUUAAAGGAUUAGAGGGAGAUAGAAAUGGCAUGGCCAGCCAAGCUCAAAUGGGAAUGAUCGACAUGAAAGCACAAGGCAUCCAAAGGAAUGGUACUUAUUCAUGGGGUAUGUGGGGUUUGAUACGCAUAUAUGGUGACAAAACAUAUAAAUUGGAAAGUGAAGUGCACAUGACUCCUACUACUAGUUGCCCCCACGAAACAUACAUAUAGGUGAGCCGUGAGCGAGAGGUCGAUCACGAAUCCAUUAACUUCUUCCUUUGUGUAAAUUCUAGCUUCUCGUGUUUUUUUUACAGUUAGAUCAUCAAUAAGUUGUGAAAACAGUUAUGCAUACAAGUAGAGGAUCCAGGAAAAACUACUUUGGCAUAAUAUUGGUUUCUUUUAGUUGAAUACAAGGAAUUACAUUACGCAUGCAUACAUUUCCACUACAAUGAGUUCCAAAACGAUGACAAUUGAUUGACCGAGAGACUGAGAGAGCCCUCCGAUCCCCCCGCUAAUAUUUAAGAAGGAAUGAUCGGACUCAUCGGAGUGCUAAUUACUUUCCUGAAACUCUGAAAGAGUUCCUCAAAAUGCCAUAGAUUGGCUUAAGCAUCAGGGAGUUGUAGCUAGGAAUAACUACUUGAUAUGUUUAGGGUAAAAUGACCUAUCCCUACUUUCAGCUGGCCAACUUCUAGAAAGAAAUAUAUAGCAGAUGUUUCUUCAACAGACGUAACUAUGUGCUCACAGUUAUGAGAGAGAGAAGGGAUAAUUUGGUGACGACUAGCUAGCUUACAGCAGGCAAUCAAUGAGUGAUGCAUGGUGGUCUGCGUACGUAUGAACAACCGUGAGUGCUUAUGGCACUACAAAGGAAUAAUCCAAAUGGACGAUGUGACAAAUAACAUGUAAUGCGAAAAAACCACAUGCACCGUGUUGGUCACUAGAAUUUGGAACUUUGGAAUAUAACUAUUUGUAUAUAUACUUGCAUAUCAAUUGCAGUAUGAGUUCAAUUUAGUCAUGGUAUGUGGUAUGUCUGAGUUCAAUACGUACGAUCAAACAUUCACAUCAGCAGGUUAAUUAGUGUGAGUUAUUCUGCUUAGGUCUCAUUCUUCAAAACUUGCUCAUCUUGAAACAGUUUAAUCAUUUAGUGUUAACCUUGAAGGCUUGAACUCUCAUUCAGUUGAACCCAAUUUGAGUUGAGGAUUGGUUACUUGUCCUUCCAACUCAAUCUCAGAUCGCCUAACAAACAAUGAAACAAAUCACCUCCUAGGAUCUUAUUAUUUUUACAUUAUCACUUCCUUGCUAUUACGUACAGAAUCCAAAACUCCCAAAUUAUUCCCAAUUAUGUAAAUCACAAGGAAUAUAUGUACGUGUGCCCUGCUUUGCUGAUUAGAUUCGUAUACGUAGUAAAAGCAAAUAAUAUGAAUGGCGUAGUUUCACGAUCAGAAACAUAAAGCUAAAGUUUGUAUAGAUUAAAGCAUUGGAUGCCAUUCAAAGAUCCAACAAUUCAGAACCAUCAUACUAUAAGCUUUAUAUGUCUUUUACCUUUUUCUAUGAAGACAGACACCAAACUACAAUGUUCUCAUGAAUGAAAUUAAGAGACAAGAAUAUAUACAUAGCCACAUGUCAGGCUGAUUAUUAAUGAGAAACCCUAAUGCGCGUGUAGAAAACCCAGAGAAUUUUCCUAUCAUAUGGGAUUCAAGAUUCUUAAGCGCACUUGGUUUAAGUUGUAUCCUGGUUUGACAUAGACCAAACUCUUUAGUCUGUGCUUUACGAUUGAUUUGAAUUGUGAAAGAAAUGGACUUAUAUUGCAUCAAGCAGCGGAAAAAUGAUCGAGCCAGCUUUAGUGCUACCAAUUUCAAAGUUGAUGGGUUCUCAGCAGGGCAAGACCUCACAUUAAAUGAAAGAUACUCCACACAAUUUAAUUUACGAAAACUAGAAAAGAGACAAUUAGUGAUGUUUUGUGGUUGGAACUUGGAAAGUUUGGGCAAAUUCUGCUUAAUUUAAACAGACAAAUUAAGAUUGAAAGCUAUGCAACUUCCAACUCUAAAAAGCUCAGUCACAUUAUUGCAUACACACACACACACUUAUUUAUGGUAGACCGUAUAGAAAACAAUGAUGAAGAUUUUGAUCUCCUAGUGAUUCAUUUUCACAGCCAAGUGCAAACAUAUUUGAUAUAGAAAAUCGUCAGGAACGUCGACAAAGAGCGAUAUCCAACAAGGUAGCGAUGAGUGAUGACCCCAGAGAAAAGAGAGUAUCGAGUAGCAUUAGAGAUUUGGGACUAUAUAUGGAUGUACUAAUAUUGGAGAGAGUAUUAUUUGUCUCGGAAGUUUCUAUUUCAAGACGACAGAAUUUGAUCGGUUGGAAGAGUUAUCUGACCAACGUUUAUGCGAGGGAGUUGAUGAUGGGCAUGGUAAUCAACAUCAGAAAGAGUAAUGGUGCCGGUGAGUGAGUCGACGACGAUGACGCUGCUGAAGAGGGUGAGACCUUGAGAUCGAGUUGUAAUAGUGUUUGCUACCAAGAGUUUCGGACUAAGAUGUGUUGCUCCCUUGCUCACAUGUUUUUGGCAGCAAGGGCAAAGGGAGUUGGCUGAGAGCGAGUCAUUAUGUCUUCUCUGCCGAUAUAACAUGCCUACAGAUUAUUGCUCUUUGCUAGUGUGGAGUGUUCUUAAUUUUCUUUUUGGACAAUAUAUUCCUAUAUAAUAUAAUCUUCAUGACAUCCCUGGUGCCUUAGCUUGUUUAUUUGUGAACUAUGUUCACUUAAUGAUAAGUAGUUUUCCUAAUUUGUGACCAAGUUUCACAAGAAUCUGAAUAAAAAUGAACGUUGCAAGCAUGUUACUAAUCGACUAGACGAGGGAUAUGGAUUUUAGUGGUUCAAAAUUUGGGUAACUUUUCUUUUGCUUCUGGUAAAGGUUUAGAUUUCAUUGAAAUAAAAAGAAUAAAAGAAAAAAAGAAGAGGAAACGGGAACCACAACCUGUAGGGAAUAGUAUACACCUAUACAAUGACCAAAGUCAAUAGCUCAAAGAAAUUCGAAAAACACCAAAUAAGCUUUACCACUCAAAGUUUGGAAAGAACUUGGUCUCAUUAAACCAUAUAAAUUUAGACCUCUGAAAGCUUCAGGUGCAAUUCCCAACUUCACAUACUCAAAAAUAGCAUUUGAAAAUGUGACGCUUUUGGUCGAACAAUAGUGAAUGCUUUUCAACUCCUAGUUCACAGCAAGUAGCUAAUUUCAAUUAAGAAAAGAAACCAAAUACAGCACUUGUCAAUUAUUACAGUGUUGCAUAUGAUUGAGGAAUUCACUAAAAAAGUAUACUAUCAAACAAUGUGGUACAAUGACAUGAUCCGCUAAAUUUGGAACUAGCAAUAUGACAAGUGUUACCGAUAAAGGAGAAUGAAAACUCAAGUCAAAAUUUGCCAAGAAAUGACUGGUUCAUGAGCAUGCAGUGUAAAGUACGAUGCUAAGUUGCUAACCACAGAGCUGCAUAAUGAGAAGAAGGCUAGUUCCACCUUGGAAUCUAACCACUGCGCAUCAACUGGGUUGUAGGUGAUGCGGAUUCUACUAGUAUACUCUCUCUAAUUGGUUUGUAUUUUCUAAUCCCUUGACCCAGAUAAUGCGUCUUCAACGCUCACCAAGGUCCUAACUCUGGAGAAGGGUAUCAAAGUUAAUAUCUUUUAAUCAAGGCACUAUUUGUUCUAACAGAACCCUGAUACUUCACCUAUCUUCUUCUUUGUUUUCUUCGACAUUCAAAGCAAUCUGAACAUGGAGAUCUGAUUUUACUUGUAUAAGAUGCUUGCAGCUUGCUAGGUGGUACUUUCAGGUCUUCAACUAGUAUAUGGCGAAGCUUCUCAUUCUCCUCUGUGAGCUCGUCAAUGAUUUGCUGGUGUUUCAAUACCUGAGACAACAUAAAUUCAAUUAAACAAUUCUAUUACAUUUUCCUAACAGGAGUUGAACAGUUUUAGUAGCUUGAAACAAAAUUGAAGAAAGCAAUUGUUUAGUUGAAUAUUUAGAAAAGAAAAAGGUUGAAUUCUUGAUACAAAGGUGAUGUAUGAGCUACAGAAAAUUGGACUCUACAACACAUGAUAACUUGUUCAAAAACUUGUCAAAUGCUCUAAAAACCACAUUGGAACAACAAUAAAUACUAUAACUAUCUGCUACUAUUACAUUGAAACCACAGAAAAGGGAUCAGAUAUUUGUCAGAAAAAAUGACUUCUUAGCAUAUCUUGAAGGCUGUGAGGAAACUCACAAGUUGGACAUAUCAAAUAGGUAUUUACCAAGCAAUAACAUCACCACCAUAGUUGUCUCUUAGUCUCUUAGAUCCAUCACUUGGGAAAAAUUAAUAAUAUUAUAAAAUAAUUAUAAUAAAAAGGAAUCAAUUGAAACCACAAGUCAAUAUUUACUACCAUUUGAAGGAUUUUAUUCUCCGACCUCAAGCGUCCAGCCUACAAAGGUAAAAUCAAUAAAAAUUAGUACAAAAGUAACAUGAAUGGCAGACACACCCAGGUACCUACUACGCCACUACAGAUUGCAGAGAGAGAAAGUGAAAGAGAGAUCAAACCAAAGGGUCUGCAAUAAAAUCACAAAAAUUUCAGACUUAGAGUUGGAACCUGUACAUACCACGUCACUUAGUUCACUAUCCUCUCCCUUCAAAACUGGACUCUGUAAAAAGCUGCUGAGAACCUUCUCUGUACGACUGCCAAAAGGUGUAUCAACUGGAGAGCUUGUUGAUGUAAAAUUAUCAUAAGUUGAACCUGUACCCUUAUUUCCAUAUCCAGGCAAGCCUUGAGUUGCAUAGUCUGCUGGUUUUGUUGCCAUCUGCAUUAUAUUUCCGACUGGAUUUUGGCUUGAUGAAUCAUUCAUAACGCCAAUGCCGCUUUGCAAUGAACUUGGAAUGGCACCUUGAAGGAUUGGUAAAUUGGGAGAAAUUCCAAAUUUUGUCAUCAUUUUUGCCAUUGUUUGCUGGAGAAUUUAGAGUCAGAAACAUAGUAGUAGGCUCCAACGGGAAUUAACACAUGAAAAAGCAAAGUAAUACUUACCAUAGAAAACAGUUGAAUUUGUUGCAAAAUCCCUGGUUUCAGAGCAAGGCCUGCAUUUGGAAGCAAUAGUAAAUGAAUAUUGUUACAAUGUAGGAACUACAAAGUAAAAUGUAUUAACUUAGUAUACAACGUCAUAAGAUAUGAGUGCAAUUGAUUUGGUGUGAUUUAGAACAAUGUACAAUAACUUGGAAUAAUUGAAAGCUGAAGAAUGAAAUUUGUUUCUUAUUGAGAUCUUAAACUCAACUGCAAACGCUAGUGAGAUUACUAAACACAAACGUUCGUCAGUCUAUGACAUUAGUGAUGUAGUGAUUACUCUUAUUCAAAAAAUUAAGUUAUAUCUACAUAAGCAAUUGAUAGAUGCGACUUAUUGAAUAGAAAGGUAGAUGGUAGGACCAUCAUACAUGUGUUAAACUUUAAUAGUCUGAUGACUCCUCUAUUAAGUUUUUGGAGUCAGUCAUUAUAGUGCUAAAAUACAGUUCAUUCUUUGGUAAUCCAACUUCACUAAAAAUACCAACUUGAAAUUCAAAAUAUUGAGGAAAUAUGAAAGAAUACUGAAAAUACUAUGGAGAUCAAGGAUACAUAAUAACAUAUAGGUAAAGUCUGAAUGUUUUUUUUUUUUAAUCAAAGGGUCAACUCUUUAUUGAAUAUAGAACUAAAUUAUACGUUACAAAUAUCAGCUGCUAUAGCAGAGUGAAUAAAAUUGGUGCAGAACUAAGUCUGAAUGUUUUUGUAACUGCUAGACACCAUACAAUCAAUUUUGCUAAAGCAUUUUACAUCCACGCUAUUCGGUGCUUAUGACCAAGGAGAGCAUCCAGUCCUUUCACACCCAAAACAAGGUAAACAACUUAAUAAAGAAUAAAUGAAUUUCUUCAAUAAGCCACGGAUAUUCAGUGAUAAUUUAGUUUAAAAUUCUUAGGUAUGUUGAUAGUAAUUUACAUUACGCGCAUCAACAUUUCCUCAUGAAAACAAAAAAAACAAAGCAUUUCAAAAUAUUCAACUAUCGUAUUACUAUGUAUGAAUCAAAUGGUUUGGAUAACAGAAGCAAAUAAGAAAUAUGUAAAUGAAAUAAUGUCAAUAUAGGAAAGAGAAUAUAUUAUAAUACUGAUUCUCCUAGAAGCAGAUAAGAUGACAUACCAACUCCAAAGCCAUGUCCAAAACCAACGCCACAACCAAUGCCGGCUUCAAUGUUCUUUGCUCCAACCUUCCUUAACUGGACAAUGAGAAAGCAGAAUAAGACAUUUGGGAAUCCUUCAACACUUGUAUAAUGAUUUUCUCUUCCUAUCUCAUAUCAAGACACAGAAUACUCCCGAGAAUCCAAGACUGAAAAGGAAAAAGUUAUUCGACUUACGGCGUCAGUUACAUGUCUGCUAACUCCCGAAAAAGCAUCAGUGGCACCUCUUGUGGCACCCAUGACUUGAUUUACCACUGGUACUGCACCUGGUAUAUAGCCAAAGUAAUGUGUGAGUUAACUAAUAUCUACUAGUCCGCUACAACCAUAGAAGAAAUCUCUUGUCAAUGAUAUCUUUACUUGAGGACACUUGUGACUUAAUUUUAUAGAUUAAUGAUAAUAUAUAUAUAUAUAUAUAUAUAUAGAAUUAUCUUUUUACUCCUGCUAUUCUCUGCGCUUGUAAUUUCGUGAAAGAAGGAUUGGAAAAGAUUUCUAUCUGAAGGUUUUGGCUGACAGAAAAUACACAUACAUAAAAUAUAAAAUUUGAAAAGACUAUUAGAUCAAUGGACUAAAUGAGCAAGGAUAAUAAAAGGCUCUAUAAACAAUAGAAAACUCAGAUUUACGAUCAUAAGUGACAAAGACCAAAUGUACUUUAAGUACUAAAAAUAAUGAGGAAAGGGAUAUGCAUACUUGAAUUUUUGGAUUAUUGAGAUGCCAAAAGGACAAAUACAUUUUCAGUGUACAUAGUAUAUUCCCUGCGUUGCUACAACUCUUUAAGUCUUUAACUUAUAGGUCAAUUAGAGCACGCAUAGGUACAGUGAUGCCCAUCAAGCCUAUAAUAUAAAUACCGAAUUCUAUGUGCUAAACGUGUCUUGUUUUAUAGAACUAAGCACAAAUGGACAUGAAAACAUUCAUUUUUUAAGCACAUGUUAAUGCUGAUUUCUUUCAUUUCUCCCUUCCUCUAAGUUGUUUUCCUCGACUCAAAGGUUAGCAAUGCAGCUUUCCCUUUUCAUUCAUACUUAGACAGGAGUUAAUAUCUUGGAUCAUGCAUGCUAACAAAGUAACAAUGUGGCUAUGUCAGGUGAAUGAUCCUACAUUAGUAGCUUUGGUGACUUGUGGAUAACCUACCAAAUAACCACUAAAACACAUGUGGAAUAUAUUGGUCUUGGAACUCAAAUCCAUUGCCUAUCAGAUAGUGUAAAACUAAGAACUCUCUACCUUCAAAACAACAAUUUAAACUGCUCUGAUGACUACAAAUUGAAUUGAUUUCCAUGUAUGACUACACAACACCAAUUCAAUGUUUCAGAAUAUGAGAUCUCAGAAAUGAGCAAGAGUGGUAAACUAUAGUUCUUGGAAAUAUAAAGGACACCAGGUCCACCAAUAUCGUUGUAUCAACAAAUCCUUCAUUAUCUAAAACGAUAUAAGCACAAGAGACUCAAAUCAGAACAUAGCUUCAAACUGCACACACCCCACGAUCACAUAUUGACUAGAACCACAAUGCGCAAACCUCAAAACAACCAAAUUCUCUACAUCAAAACCAACGCACACUGCAGCUACACUAGCAAAUAACCAAAUGCAAUAUCUAUAAACAAUCAACCAAUCUUCCUUCAUUCACUAAAGGUCUAAAGCCAACAUGAAACAGCUUAAUCACAUUUCCCUACACUAACUCAGCAACCAAAAACACGACCGAAAUUUGAAAACCAAACAAACAAACAGUCCAUUAGAACCUUGUGAGUGAUGGGUUUCACCAUUUUUGGGCUUGAAGAGCCUCCCAAAGUCCAUCUUCAAUAUUUUAAAACUCACAGAGAACAAAGCUACACAACACUGAGAGAGAUAGCAAGGACUAAAAGAAAAGGGUGAGUACCUAAAUUAAUGGGGCGGCCAACGCCGAUACCAACACCACAGCCUAUGCCAAACCCAGUAAAUACUUGACCCACUUUCAAAGUAAACGGAUUCCCUAUUCGAAUCGGCUUCUUCUCAUUGGCCACCACCACCACCUUACUGCUUCCCUCCAUAUUCCCCAAAAAAGCUUCUCUCUUUUCAAAAACCCAAGUCUCUCUCUUUCUUUAGUCUUUCACAAAGCUAAAGCUUCAACCUUUUCUUUCUUUCCUCUUCAAAUUUCCCACCUUUGCCCUCUCUGUGAAGCCUGAACUGUAAGUCUGAUACAAUUUUAGGCAGGAGGCAAACUGAACAGAGUUUCUACUCCUCUGCUUACAAAACCAUUAUAGUAAUCUUAGGCUUCAAGUGAUGAACCAAUAUAAACAUGACACAGCAACAAUGAGGAGGUCAAUUACCAGAUUACCUUCAUACCUAAGAAGUAAGGUACUAACCAAGUGUCAAAGAAAGAGGUUAGCUGGAGUUGUUUGGGCCUAUUGGGCAGGUUAAUUUUUGACGCGGCCCGGCCCAUUGUUUGGGUUCUGACACUGAUAACCCGCCUUAUACUGAUUCUUUGCUUCUGCUAGUGCUAGAUUUUGGGGCACGGUUUCUGGGUGAGCUUCUUCAUCUUUGUUUUGUUUCCUUGUUUUUCGUUUCUCUGUUUUCAUUUUGCUGCAUUUUUAGUAUGUGGGUUUUGUGAGUUUGGGGGCUUUUUGCGUGAACGUUUAGAGAGUUUUUGGUGUGGGAAUGUAGGUUUUGAAAGGUGUGAUCUUGAUGGGUUCUUUUCUGUGUGUUUUGGUUUCUGCAAAUUUGGGUGAGUUUCCUCACCUCUUCUUCUUUCUUUUCCUUUUUUGUUUCCUGCAUUUUUAUUGGGUACAAAAAGUUGGUUUUGCUGAGGUUGGGGUUUUUGAGGAUUCUGGAUUGGAGUUGUGGGUUUGGACUAUGGAGUAUGGAUCAUGUGUUGAAACGAGCUUUCCAAAGUAGAGUUUUCUGCAACUGUAGCCUUGUAUAGUUGUGUACUUGUGUUUAGAGAAAUGGGUAGGAAUAGAACAUUCACCAAGUGUUAUGAAUCCCAUUUGCUUAAUUGGGUUACAAGAUAGGGAUAGGUUUACUUACCCGUUACCCCUCAUGGGGUUCUUUUCAGUUUGGUUAUCUGUUGUGUUUUGGACUUUUAUGUUUAAUAGAUUAUUCAGGGUUUCUGCUUUUGGUUGUACUAUGGAACGUUUAUAUGUAUGUUCUGAGUGUUGUGUGAACUUUAAUUGGUGAUCCAAUCUUUCUAGCAAAGUGUCCCGCACAGUGCUCACUUUGAACACAAAAGGUUUCGACCUUAUCUUCACUUGUGGAAGUUGAGGAAAUCUGUCAAAUGGAGCCUAUUCUACAUAUUCGAUCUUUUGCUGCACUAUAUUCAUGAACACUUUCGUCACAGCUCUUGAUUUUUAACUAGUCCCCUGCUAGUGAAUUUUGUGCGACCAUUGGUACCCCAAUGUUGUUUUAGGUUGAACUUUUUCCUCAGCUUCUGUUUGUUUCUUCAGUUUUGAAAUUUUCCAGCUUGUCUUCAGGUUCCUAUAUAGUGUGUAGGAAAUCUGCUAUGCUUGUUGAGUUUCUGGUAACUAGAUUGUUUGUGGAUUUUGUUGCUUACUUGCUUUGGUUGCAUAUUAACUAUAUAAAAUCUGUAGAUGUGCUCAAGUAUUUAUGUGUACUUUCAAUUAGUAUUUCAGUUUCUUUUUACAUAAUCAUAUGUGGUUUAGCACAUUCAUUUUACUUUACAAAAUUUGGAGUAUGGUAAUUGUUGAAGCUAACAAUAGUCUCUUCGUGGAUCAGGUGUCAACAUCGCUUACCAUUUAUGACAAGCUUCCAUCAGGAAAAAUCAUUGCUUCUGUCAAACUCUGUGAUUACAAAUCUGGCAAGGUAUUCAACUUAUGUUAGCCUUUGAAGUAUACAUGAAUUUGCAGUUCAGCUGCAACUUAUAUCCACAUUUCUUUUAUCUAUUGCUGCAGUACCUUUAUGAACAAGUAAAAAGCAGUUGAUCUGAACUAAUCCUCUGCUAUUUGUUUUUGCAUAGUAAUUGGCGGUCCUAGCAUUAUUUCAGGAGGGGAAACUAGAUACUUGACAACUUCAGUUACAUUUGUAAACGAUAUUGCUGGUCUAAGCUUGACAGAGCCAAAUUCCUUUGAUUUAGUAGUUCUGUAAGUUGGCCACUAACAGAAAAGUACCUGUAGUUUUUGGAUGAUUAAACAGACAAACAUACUGUUGUUAUUUAGGUUUGUCGCAGUGUCUUUUGGUUGCUAGUCAAUAAGAAUACUUGUCUUUGAUGGUUAUUGUGAUUUUAGGUUCUUGAGCAUUACAUAGGGUUAUGUGUUAUCGUUGCAGGAUUUGGAAUCAUCAAUUGUAUCACUAAGUGGUAUCCAUUUUCAAGUAGGAUUUGGAACGUUGCCUAUGGAAAAUUCUGAGCUACCAGCGUAUAAGCGGUGUAGAGUCUCUGCUGUUCGUGACUUUCCUAUUGGGUGUGGACCAUUUGCUCACUUGAGUAAUUUGAAUGCCAAUGGUACAGAGAAGAUUUCAGAUAAAAAAUAUCCUCCUCGAUCAGUAGAAGCUGUUCGGGAUUUUCCACCUUUAUGUGGGAUCAAUGCUUCUCCGGAGGCCAGGAAAUUCAGCAAAGAGAAGUCAGUUAGGGGUUAUAAGCCCUUGUCAUCAAAGACAGCGAAGAAUAAUGAGAAACAAACAGGACUUGGGAACAAAGUUCAACCCAACAUUGAGAAGAAAAUUGGAGGACACUCUCUAAAGAAGAAUAAUCAUGUACCAGUAAAGGCUGCUUGUCAAGGUACAAGUCAGCCUGAUAUAAGGAAGAAGGAGUAUUCUCAGCAUGAUGAAAAAGAACAUAAUCUUGUGAUUCCAAAAUCACGGAGUACAGAUGGGUGCCCUCCUCCUUUUGGUUAUAGUAGUUUGAGCCGCAGAAGUCAUGAUAAUGACACGAGUGAAAGGAACAAGGUAAAGGAGAUAUUGCAUUUGUUCCGAGAUGAAUGUCAGAAGCUCUUGCUGGAGGAAGAAAAUAAAAGGUCAAGGGGUGUGGGAACUUCUCACCGAAGGGUUGAUUUGGAAGCCUUCAAGAUCCUCAAGGAUAGGGGAAUCUCUAUAAAAUCAGGCAAACAUGUCAUAGGAGAUAUUCCAGGAGUUGAAAUUGGUGAUAAGUUUCAUUACCGAGUGGAACUUAUCCUUAUUGGCCUCCAUCACCAGAUACAAAGUGGUAUAGCUUAUGGACAUUUCGGUGGAAAGGUCCUUGCAACCAGUAUCGUUGCAUCUGGUGGCUAUGCAGAUGAUUUGCAUAGUAAAGAUUCAUUGAUCUAUACUGGCCAUGGAGGAAAUGCAAAUCCAAAGGACCCUCAAGAUCAGAAGCUUGAACGGGGAAAUCUUGCUUUAAAGAAUAGUGUGCAAAAGAACCCUGUUAGAGUGAUCCGUGGCUCCGAACUAGUGGAUGGAAGCAGGACAUAUUUCUAUGAUGGAUUAUAUAUGGUAGAGAAAUGUUGGCAGGGUAGAGGUGCUCAUGGUAAGCUUGUUUUCAAGUUUCAGAUGAACAGAAUUGGAAGCAUUGGAAAUUGACGUGUGAGGUUAGUACUACUUAUUCAUCUAUAAGAUAUUUGGAUAUUAUAAGUUAGAACUCGGUUAGUUACAUAUAUCGUGCAUUGUACUGCAUUUGGUUGAGUGGAUGCAUGCAAAUAUGAAAUACUAUCAUAACUGAUGAACUGAAAAUGCAUUGAAUAUGAUUAGACCAUGAAUCCAUUCUUUAUCAUGGUUUCUGAUUUAUGUAGUGUUGAUUCCGUUGGAGUUAAUUUGGUUGUUUUUCGUCCCCACAGAUGCAUGCUUGAACUUGGGUAUACAAGGAAGAAUUGCCAGCCAGUAUUUGACCCAUCUAAAAGAGCUAAGCGGAUGUUUUGUAAAAAGGAUUUUCCAGCGGUUAGUAAGGUGUUUCUGUGACAGGUAGAGUAGAUAAACCGACUUUUGUGAAGAACUUUAGCAUUGAAAAAAAAAAAAAAACUUCUGUGAAGAACUUGACAGUGAGGCACAGAUCGAUGUACUGUCUAGAUAGUGUGAAGCUUGUUAUCGAUGUAAUUAGGUCUAAACUUAAUGUAGGCAGUAUUACGUGACAGUUAUGUGAAUGCUGUGUUGAGUUUGAUAUUGAUCAUGUUUUGCUUGCUAGUUGCAGGAGUUGGCAAUUGCUCUAGUGUGUAAAGUGCAGUUUCAAAUUUCUUGAACUGCGAUUUCCCGCCCAUUAUUAUUGUCACACCUAUAGUAUAAUACACCUUGUUCAUAACCCAAAAGCCCCUAUCAGUUUUAUGAAGAUGCAUAGCUCUGAAUAAAUCGCAAGAAAAGCAUCAAUAAUUUUUCAUAGAUGAACUUUCUCAGAUAAAUAUGUAAGAUCAAUACCUUGCCAGCAAAUAAUUUUCAGGUAGAAAGCAAGAAAUGGACUUAACAUAUAAAUCGUUGCGAAUUAAAAUGCGUGGCAUUCUAAUAUAAUCAUGUCCACUGCAAGGUGUUGGGUGUUGGGGUGGACUAGAGGCUAAACUCGAUCUGUACAAGGAAAAAUUCGAAGUGUCAUAUGUUCUCCCUGGACUUUUUGUUUAGCAAACUAGCACCAACAAAAAAAACUAUACAAUUGUCAUAAAAUAAAGAUGCUGUAAUUUAGAGUGGAAGAUAACUUUAUGUUAAGUCUUUAGUUUCAACAAUCAAAUUUUGCGAGUGAUCCCCAACUAAGUGUGAUAUCUCAUUGAAAUUUUACUGAUUUUGGUUAACGUGUUGAAUGCCAAGCCUACUUACUACAAACCUUCAUUUCAUCGUAAUAUUUACCAUGUAUAUAUCUUGUGUUUAUGUAGUACAAAUAAGAGCAAUAUUAUCAAUUCUAUAUUCGUGAAGUUUUUACACAAGUCCUAAAUAAGAUCAAUUCUUAUUUUAUGGUUAUCUAAGUGACAUCGCUCGUGUAAAGGGAGGUGAAUAUGUGGUUGUCACAGAGGUGCGUGGAGGAGAGAUUGGUUGUGAAAAUAUAGCCGCAAAUGGCAAAUUAUAAUUCUUACGAAUUCAUUCAAAGUAGAUAAAUUUAUGAAACAAUUAAAGAUGUGAAUUGUAGAUAAAAUUUUAAAGUCAAUAGCGUGAGGAAUAAAAUGAAGUUGUACAUAUGUGCUUACCACCACAUGUAUAAAGUUAGGCCUUUUUUUUCUUUUUUGGUUACAAGUUAGACCUUUUUUUUUAUGAUACAAAAUUCGAUGAGUUGUUGGUCGUAUUUAUGAAACAAUUAACGUGUGAAUCAUAGUAGAUAAAAUGUUUAAGAUAAAACAAAAAGAUAAAAGGAAGUUAUUUUUCAGUGCUUACGGCCACAUGUAUUAAGUUAGACCCGCAGUCCAUCACCGAAUGCAAAGCUGCCACAUCAAUCCAGUCAACUGUUUUUAAAUUCUAUGACCAAAACGACCUGGUGUAACCGUUCAGACAAUUCCUGUUUUAGAAACAAACUGACUCGUUGGCAGUCAAUGGACUCUAUACACGAAGUCACGAACUACAAUUAAUUAGCUCAUCAUAUGAAUCCGACUGCCACCACCCUCUUGGGAUUUCUGCGUUUCUUCUCUCAAGUUUGCGUGAGUUUCUCCCUUACCUCUUCGUCUCCCGUAUCAAUUCUUCUGCAUUUUCAACAUAUGGCUGGGAUUUUGGGUGAGAAUAGAUCAUUGUAACUAAUGAUAGUUUUAUUGAGGGCUUCUUGUUCGUUUUCAAUUUUCAUUCUCAAUCUUCUUGCAUGCUGCUUGAUCACACUUCAGUCACUGCAAAGGUUAGCUUGUAGCUGGUUUAGUAUAAUUCUGUUAGUUAGUGUAUAUCUAUGUAAAUUGAGAAAAUGAGUGACUUAGUUGGGUUUUCUGGGCUCAUGGGCAUGGAAGUAAACAGUAUUAGAUGAUAUGAAUGUCACCGGUCAAAAGCUUUCAGGUGAGAAUGGUUCUGUUUUUUUUUUUUUUAAAGGAGUGAGAAUGGUUCUGUUGAAACCAUAAGAACCAUAAGAACUCACCCAGAUAGAUGUACUGGUUCUUUUAGAUUACAGUUUCAAUUCGUAUUUCACAUUAAUAUUUCUAGCGCAAAUUCCCAGCAUGCUCAAUUUGAGAUCAAGAUGGGAAUAAAGUGUGACCAGCUGGCUGCCAUUUGCUCUUAUUUUUACCUAUGUGUGUAUUUCUUCACAGUAGUUAAAUAGUAAACUUACUUCUGUUGGGAUAUAGCUGCACAAGUGAGGGGUCGAGAGGGGGAGUAUCAGAUUGAGUUACUACCAUAACUUUUUGUGUCUGACAAUUGUUUGCUUUGUUGAAUAGGUAUCAGCAACCUUCACAAUUGAAGUCAUCGGCAACUUCCAGAUCACAAAGUAUAUCUCUGGUGUCAGUUACAAAGCCAGAUUCCUUUGCUUCAGUAGUAAUUCCGUAAGUUCCACAUUCAGAAAAAAAAUUAGCAUAAUUACUGCGUGAUAAACCGUACUAAAGUCCGAGGACAGUUAAGUUAGUUGCUAGUACUCGAUUGUAGCGCGUACAUAUCCGUGUCUAUAUAUAUAUAUANNNNNNNNNNNNNNNNNNNNNNNNNNNNNNNNNNNNNNNNNNNNNNNNNNNNNNNNNNNNNNNNNNNNNNNNNNNNNNNNNNNNNNNNNNNNNNNNNNNNNNNNNNNNNNNNNNNNNNNNNNNNNNNNNNNNNNNNNNNNNNNNNNNNNNNNNNNNNNNNNNNNNNNNNNNNNNNNNNNNNNNNNNNNNNNNNNNNNNNNNNNNNNNNNNNNNNNNNNNNNNNNNNNNNNNNNNNNNNNNNNNNNNNNNNNNNNNNNNNNNNNNNNNNNNNNNNNNNNNNNNNNNNNNNNNNNNNNNNNNNNNNNNNNNNNNNNNNNNNNNNNNNNNNNNNNNNNNNNNNNNNNNNNNNNNNNNNNNNNNNNNNNNNNNNNNNNNNNNNNNNNNNNNNNNNNNNNNNNNNNNNNNNNNNNNNNNNNNNNNNNNNNNNNNNNNNNNNNNNNNNNNNNNNNNNNNNNNNNNNNNNNNNNNNNNNNNNNNNNNNNNNNNNNNNNNNNNNNNNNNNNNNNNNNNNNNNNNNNNNNNNNNNNNNNNNNNNNNNNNNNNNNNNNNNNNNNNNNNNNNNNNNNNNUUUAAGAAUUUGAGGAUUUCUACUAUUUUACAUUAGUAGAUGACUUCUUUUAAUAAUCUCAACCGUUGAUCCUCUAGAUUCAUAUGCAAGAAAUAUGUCUACAAAAUUUCAACUUGACACGACCCGCCUCAAAUUUCACCCUGAAACCCGGAGUAAGUCGUGCGGGGACCACCUCCAAGGAAAAUUUUACCGAAAAGAUUGGUAAAACCUCCCUUGAAAAUGGACAACCCUAACUCGAAAAUUCAAAUUUACACUCUUACUACAACACGUCCAAACUUCACAUAAAUAUCCAGCUAAUAAAAGCAAACAUUAUCCUUCAGAGAUUCUAAACAUCAAAUCAACAGGCCGAGCACACCACCGAAAUAAUAUACAACAAUCCCAAAGUAUCCAGAGCUACUAGACUAUAGCGGAAGCAAGAAAACACGAGUAGGUUGAACAAGUAACCUACUGAUGAAAACUAGCAAAAAUGCGGGUGACUAUGCCUCGCCUCCUACUAGAUCCAACCCGAACUCUGCAAACUGGGCAUUUUUUUAAAACGAAGGGCCCAGGGGAAAACAUUUAAUAACGUCAGAGUGAGUGGACAAAAAUAAAUUAAAAAAAUAAAAUAUUUAUGUUUCCCCGACUCAAUUCCCAAGGAAAAAUCGAAUGCAUGCCGCAAGCGAUAAAACUUUAAUCUCAUAAAAUAUCGAGCCUCUCAGACUCUAUAAUAUAUGUAUGUAUUCACACACGUCUAUACUCCCUAUAUAAAUUCAUAGGUCUAUAUAGGGCUACUACGCUCGCGUCACGCCUUAAUGCGGUGCUACACUACGUCAUUAAGAUGGACAGACAGGUGUAUAAAUAUGUGUCCAUACCCCCUAUAUGAAUUAAACACUCAAAUAGGGCUACUACGCUCACGUCCAACGCUCACGUCACACCAUAAUGCGGCUAUAUGCUACGCCAUUAAGGUGGACAAACACAUAUGGCUAGCUAGCAUUUUAUAUACAUACUCUCUCAUAAAUACAUAUUUAUAUCCACCGAAAAUUCCAUUUUCGGUAACUCUCCAAGAGAAAUAAAAUUCGUCAAAUUAAAAUGACGUCAAAAUAUUCCGCAACAAUUAUUGUUCAACCAUGAACUCUAGCAUGCAUUUUAUUUAAAACAAAAAUCCACUCACAAAUUUGGCCUAAGCCUGAUGUUGAUCUGGGGCCUCGUCUGCUCGAGCCUCCUCACGUCCUGAUCCAAAAAUAAUAUUAAUUUCCCAACUAACAAUCCAAUGUUUAAUCAAAAUAGGCAAAAUUACCCGUGAGCCAUAAAUACGCUCAUCAUUGCCUAACUUCGAUAAUCUUAAAUCGAAACGAUCCGAACUUAAAUAUCAUACUCGGCAGCCGUAAAUACAACCUCCCCAAAAAAUACGACUUAAAUCCUACGGCCGGAUUCUACAUUAAUUAACCGCCAAAAAUACCACACUUCGGAAAUUCAUAAACAUAUCCAAAACUCAUCCAAAAAUUCCAUAACUCACUUCAAUAAACUCCCCCUAAUAUUCCAAAUUUAACAACAUUAAAAAUCUCCCAACCGGCGGUGGCCGGAGGCCAAUUCCGGCAACCUCCAAAACCUAUGAAAUUUUGACAGCAUCUUCCUCUCAUCAUGCUCUACAACUUUCCUAACUAGCACAAACCCAAAAUCCAAGCCUAGCUAUGCCAAUCGAACAGAAACAUCAAAAACGCUCUAGAAUUUCAACUUCACAUUUCUCCUUACCUAGCUUAAGAGAGGGUGAGCUGUUUGGAGGGGUUGCUACACGGGAGGAGGGCUACAAAACGAGCCAAGGAUCGCCAGUUUUGGUGGCCGGAGGAGGGAGCUCCGGCGAGAGAACCACCACGGCAGUUAGCGGCUCCGGGUGUCGUUGCUCUCUCACGACGGCGCUAGGGGAACUGCUACCAGCCUAGAAUGAAAGCUGGGUUGGAGGCUGACCGAACGGGACUGGUGCGGUAGUCUCAGGCGGCCGGACGGCGGCGGAUGAGCGGCCGGAAGGUUUGGCUGCGGGAGGGACUCGAGGAGAGAGAGAACCGGGAAGAAAAGAGAGAAGAGAGAAAAUGGGUUUGGGCCUCACACCCCAAACUGGUCCAACCCAAUUCCAAAAAUAAAACACCCCGAAAAAAUAAUACCCGAAUAAAAAUUACAUUUUACUAUCUAAAAUUUACCAUUUUUACCGUCGUCAUAACUUUCUCCUACGAAUAACUCUCCGAAAUAAUCGUCCCCCGAAACCCCUCUAGGGACCAAUUAAACUAUUAUCUCAAUGACGGAGAUGGGAAAAUUCUUAUUAUAAACAAGCUAGUAAAUAAGGUAAAAAUAUAAGAGUCGGGAUGUGACACAACUAAUUCCAUAAUCAUUUGGUCAUUCAAAAUGAUGUAAACAAUUGUAGGCCGUUAAAUAAAAUUAAAAUGAACAUUGUGUUAAUCAAAUGGUUAAACGUUUUUCAUUUUGGCUAAUUUUUUGUAUGAUUCAUAUGUGGGUAAGUAACUAGGGAAUGGGUGGCUUUGAUUGUCAAAAUAUAUGCUAGAACUAAAAACAUCCUUACUUUAAGAGUUUAAUAAGGUCCUUUGUAGAUCUGGACUAUAUAUAUAUAUAUAUAUAUAUAUAUAUAUUAUAUAUANNNNNNNNNNNNNNNNNNNNNNNNNNNNNNNNNNNNNNNNNNNNNNNNNNNNNNNNNNNNNNNNNNNNNNNNNNNNNNNNNNNNNNNNNNNNNNNNNNNNNNNNNNNNNNNNNNNNNNNNNNNNNNNNNNNNNNNNNNNNNNNNNNNNNNNNNNNNNNNNNNNNNNNNNNNNNNNNNNNNNNNNNNNNNNNNNNNNNNNNNNNNNNNNNNNNNNNNNNNNNNNNNNNNNNNNNNNNNNNNNNNNNNNNNNNNNNNNNNNNNNNNNNNNNNNNNNNNNNNNNNNNNNNNNNNNNNNNNNNNNNNNNNNNNNNNNNNNNNNNNNNNNNNNNNNNNNNNNNNNNNNNNNACUAUAUAUAUAUAUAUAGUCUGUUUCUGGUGCGGACGUCCGUACAGGUUUUUCGUACGGAUUUCCAUCGUUUCUCCACCUUUCCAGCGCCGGCGACGCCGUUUCUUCUCCCCGGUGUGAUCUCAGACCUCCUCCGACGUUGUUGGAAUGAAGAAGAAGGCCGGAGAGAUCGCGAUCGGAGGUCUACCAUGAUCGGUUGUGAAGUUCUGAGUGAGAUUGCUGCACAGACCUCCGAUCGCGAUCUCUCCGGCCUUCUUCUUCAUUCCAACACCGUCGGGGGAGGUCUGGGAUCACGCCGGGGAGAAGAAACGGUGUCGCCGGCGCUAGAAUGGUGGAGAAAUGGCAGAAAACCCGUACGGAUGUCGGCACCAGAAACAGACUGUAUAUAUAUAUAUAUAUAUCUAUAUAUGUAUAUAUAUAUCGUUUUUAUUCGAAAUUCGGCGAAAGGUUUGUUAGGACUAUGUGUUCGAAUUAGCGUUACAUUUGUGAAUUGUCAUUUUCUUGACCUUUCCGAUCGAAAUUUAAAGUUGUUUAGAAAACUUUGUAUCAUUAUGGAUUUUGUUCUCUUUCUCUAUCGAUCUUUUUUUCUUUUCCCAUUAUGAUGAGUUUCUCACUUCGUCAAAUUGUCGCGGCUGCUUAUUGAUAGGGUGAAGCUAACUGUCCUCGCAUCUAUCUUCUGGCAACAAUAUAAUUUAAAGUUUAUGAAAUACUAAUUAGGUUGUGUAAUUGUGUUACAUAUCUAGUGAUUUUUUUACCGUUGUGUCAAAGCAAAUGGAGUUGCCAGUAAAACAAUAUAUUUUUUCGCUAAUUGAUGCUUAUAGAAUAUAUACUUGUCCGAUGUGAGUAGUCUUAUUAUUAUCUCGGGACAUACUCCAAAUGCUUCUUAUAAUCACGGGUUUAGACUCAUGUCACCCUUAUAUUCAAUAGUAUCAUUAAUCAAGGCUCGAGAGAAUCCGUACUAGCCCUUCAUUCAAAAAAUAAUAAUUCUAUACUUUUUAUUUUUUGCUUUAUGAAGAUAGAUUCAUGUAUAGUGAAAGAGAGAAUUAUACACAUUUAUGAAGAGAAAUAUUUUUAUUUACUUUCCAAAUUUGUGAUUUUGAGUUAGUUGCUAGUUUGAUGAAACAUAUUCAUAUAUGUUUUUAAUUAUUUGGUGAAAAGUUUGUUUGGACUAUGUUUCUAUAUUAACGUUACUUUUUUUUAUUGUUCGUUUUGACCUACAAUGUAAUUUUCACCAAAUAUGAAUUAGAAAAACCCGAAAAUGGUAUCUAAAGAGAGAAUUUAAUAUUCUUAACGUUGUGUUUGGAUGAAGUAGUUUCAAUUUCCAUAGAAAUUGGAAAAUCAUGGAAAUUACAAUUUCAUGAAUUUAAAUUCCAUUAAUCGGGAAUUUCAUUGUUUGGAUUUCAUGAUAUAGAAUUUUAAAUGAUAAGAAUUUGUAUUUAGACUAACCUCAAUCGAGAGAAUUGACAAAUGACACCUAUUUUGUAAGGAAUUCAAGUUGGGAAUUUAAGUUUUCAAAUUCCACAAUUAUUUUCCUGUGGAAAUUGCUAAUUCCAUUGGAUAAGAAUCUAAACGGGGGAAAUAAUUCUAAGAAAUUAGGAAUUCUUAAUUAUGGAUUAAAUUCCCGAGAAUUCACCCACAUCCAAACACAACAUAAAGAUUUUGUGUUCCCUUUCUUGUUUUUCUUUUCAUAUUAUGUUACAAUUUUUUGAUUUUCGAUUUUCAUUAGGAUUAAGAUUUCCUACAUGUAUCAUGAUGAAAUCGACAAGGAAUAGUUUCUUUUCUUUCCUAAUUUAAAUUUUUUGUGAUCUAUAUAUAUACAAGUCGUUAAAUAUUUGAAGCUCAACAAGAAGGUCAGGAAGAGACUUGUUUUGUUUUUUAGACGUGCCCGUGAUUUGUUAGUUGUUUUUCCGCAGGCAUUGACAACUUCAUAGAUUGCAAAGUGUUAGUCAUAUCAACAAGCUAAACUUCUCCGCUUCGGCAUUCUGUAAGUUCCAUAUUUACUAUUGCUCUCUCUUUAGGCUUUACUUUAAUUUGUUUUGUUAAACCAUUGUGAAUACAUAUAGCUUAUAACUUAGUGAUUACCUAUUCUGUCUUCACAGGUUCUUGAGCAAUAAUUCAUUACCUAAUUGGGUUGUGAGUUGGAAUGGGGUCAGAGGGAUCAUUGCAGCGUACAGGGUCCUCGAGGAAACAUGAUGAGGAAACAUUGGGCUCUUCCCAUUCCAAGUUACUUGACCAUAAAAGGCCAAGAGUCUCUGCCAUUCGUGAUUUUGCGCCAGGGUGUGGACGAUCUACUCACUUCACAACUUCAGUUGGUAGUUCUGAUGAUAUGGCUAGGGAACAUCAUGUCCCUGCCGUUCGUGAUUUUCCCCAAGGAUGCGGACCAUCUGCUCGCUUGACAACUUCAGUUGGUACUUCUGAUGUGGCUAGGAAACAUCAUGUAGGAGCCGUUCGAGAUUUCCCUCCUCAAUGUGGAACAAGUGCGUCUCAGGAGGCCAGAAACUUUGAUCGAGAGGCGCAGUCAGUUAAGGGUGACAAACCAUCAACAUCAUCAAACACUGACAAGACUAAUGUGUAUCGUUCAUGGUGGACAGGAAAAGUUGCCCACAGAUCUAAACCAAAUGGAGAUAUUGGCCCAAUAAAAAAGCAACCUGAAGCAAAUCGUCAGCCAGAAAGAUCUCGGAAUGACUCGGACAAUACUAGAGGAAAGACUACUCAAUUUAGUGCUGCUAGCCUUCGUAACAACAACACAUCUCUCAUCCGAACGAAAGUGACAGAGACACUGAGUCGGUUCAGAGAUCUUUGUAUCGAGAUUGAGCGUAAGAAGUUGAGGGAAGGAGCAGCAAAUCCGAGAAGGAUAGAUUUUGAAGCUGCAAAGAUCCUCAAGAAAGAAAGAGGAUACGUUAAUACAGGCUCACAAAUAAUGGGAGAUGUACCAGGUGUGGAAGUUGGUGACAUUUUUCGUUACAGAAUUGAGCUCACCAUUGUUGGGUUACAUCGCCAGAUUGAAGGUGGGAUCGACUAUACACAUUUUGGUAACGAGUCGCUUGCAACUAGCAUUGUGGCGUCUGGGGGGUAUGCAGAUGAUACGCAUGACUUGAACUCCCUAACUUACACCGGCCAUGGAGGAAGCGUGAUGCACCAUAACCUCCCAGAGCAUCAAGAGCUUAAACGCGGGAACCUGGCUUUGAAGAAUAGUAUCGACGCGGAGAAUCCUGUUAGAGUGAUACACGGGUCUGAGACUUCCGGUGGAAGAAAGCAGUAUGUUUAUGUUGGACUAUAUUUGGUGGAGAGGUGGUGGAAGGAAACGGGGGAUCAUGGAAAGAUUGUUUACAAGUUUCAACUGAACAGAAUUCAGGGCCAGAGAUCGAUCCCUUGGUUGAUAUAACAUAUGAAUUAUUGGUGGUGCAACAACAUCUAGCUAGCUGACAGUUGAAUAAUUUUUGCUGUUCAUCGACACAAUUUGUCAUCUCUUCAUUACUCGUUGAUGGUUGUUGUACCAGUACUGUUCUUUCUUAGUUUGAUUCUGCAGCUGAUUUGCAGCCUUUGUUUCUCACAGAAAUUUUCUAAUUUCUGUGAUGCUAUUGUUUCAAUCAAGACUUCAAGGCCUCGUUUGGUUCAUGAAAAAGAAAGUAGUUGCUACAUUUUUCCUAUGAGAAGGGAAAGAGAAUGGGACUGAAGUUUUCGAAUAACUUUCUAUGUCAUUGGGAAAGCUGAUAACUAAUAUAAUAAAUAUUCUGCUGUGAGUAAUAAAUAUUAAGAAAGAAGAAAGGAAAGUGGUUUAUUUAGAUUUUAGAAUAGUAAACUACAUAUUAGUUACUAACCAAAUAUCAAUUAACAAAAAGGUACAUUAAGCAUAUUAGUAAACAAACAAGGACAAACUUUUACAAAUAAGGACAAAUUGUAAAUGCAUUGCCGUUAUGCAACACGUUAUGCUGUUGCCAUGUGGCAAUGCGCAUUUACAAUUGUGCCCUUCAAACUAAAUGUGCUGCUACUGUCGGCAGUUUACAAACUUCUGCUACUGCGAACUAAAGAAGUUGCUACUGUCGACUGUUUACAACGUUAUGCUACUGCCCCCUGUUUUUACUUUUCUGCUACUGCCCCCUGUACUGUCGGCAGUUUACAAACGUUCUGCUACUGCCUACCGAAUAAGCUGCUACUAUCGACUGUUUACAUACAUUAUGCUACUGCCUUUUGUUUUUACUUUCUGCUAUUGCCAACUAUUUUCAUUUUUCUCUGCUACUACUAUAUUGCCUAUACAUAUAUCAACCAUGGAAUUACUAUAUAUAUAUAUAUUCACUAUUACUGCUGCUAGCCUGCUACUGUAUAUGUCAAUCAUGGAAUCACCUAUAGAGUUGUUGCUACUGCUUUAUAUAUCCACCAUUAAAUCAUUUAUGGAAUAACUGUUACUAGCCUACUACUGCAUAUAUUAACCAUAAACCUCAUUCUUGUUCUAUUCACUCAUGGAAUCUCCUGCCAAUCAACCAAAACCCCCAAAAUUGAAAAUUUUCACGAGCAUUAACAUGCCCAGUCGCAUUCUAAAUCCUUCAAGGUCGCAGGUGACGACAGCGAAGAUCUCGACGUCUCCUGAUCUCUAACCCAAACAAAGAUGAAGCUGACCAUCAUCAAUUCCCACCAAACAUGAACAAAAUGAAAUUGAAUCAGAUAAAAAAAAAAAACAAAGUAAUUGAAGAAGACCCCCAACCAUGUCUCGUCGUUGGUGAGGCAUUAGUGUUGGAAUCAGAUCUGAUGCACAGAAAAAGUAGUUGAAGAAGAUGCCAAACUUGUUUCGUGGAGGCGUUGCCGUCCUCGUCGCGUCAGCAGCUUCGUUGUCUAGGAGGCAACGCUUCUUGAGAGAGAGAGAGAGAGAGAGAGAGAGAGAGAGAGAGAGAGAGAGAGAGAGAGAGAUAAGAAAAGAAGUAGGAGGAAGGGAAGGAAGAAGAGAGAGAGAGAGACGANAGAUAGAAAAGUAAGAGAGAGAGAGAGAGGAAAAUUAAAGAUGAGAGGGUAUUAUGAUCAUUUGAUAGGUAAAAUUCGGAUAAGGGCUAAUGCCAUUAGUUUUGGGCUUGGGUUGAUGUCUUAAAUUGUAUAAAAAUUACUAGAAGUGGGUUUUUGUGUUUUAAAUUUGGUCAUAUGCUACUAUGUAAUUUACUCAUUUUAGAAUGAACUAUUUUUCCCCAUAAUUUCCCUUCAGCUAGGAAAGUGGUUCCUUUUCUUUUGUUUGCCCAAACACAGAAAAUGAACAACUUUUAUUUCCUGAUGCCUACUUUCCUUUCCAGAUUUGAUGUUAGACUAUGUGAGUAUGUGUAUUGGUUUUUUUUGUUUUUUUUUUUUUUCACUCACAUACCCUUACAUAUGUCAGUGAGAUUUGAAUCUAUAAUUUUAACGUUGUUGGUUAAACUACCUAACCAACCAGACCAUGGCUCACAGACAACUAUGCAUAUUGGUAGGGCUGGGCACGGGCCGAGACCGUCCUACUUUUCAUAGGGACCGGGCUCAAACCGGUAACAGUACAACCAAGCCGGUCUUUACAUCAAAAAAUUUGGGGCCCGGGGAAAGCCCGGCCCGGUAAAAGCCCGAACCGGUUUGGUCGGGUUUCAGGCCUGUUUUGCUUUCAUCGAGAGGAAGAGAAGAGAGGUACCUGAGCGUGAGAGCGUCUAAUUCUCAAGAGGUAAACCCACAAUCAAAAUGAAUCGAUUGGAAUUUGAAAACCACAAUCACAAAAUCAACAAAGUUCAUCAAAGCACCAAUCUUUCAAAUCCAAUUAAAAAGCCAAUUUACCAUAAUCACAAAGCAAGCAAAUUUCAGGGCUUAGUUUGAAGGUACCUAAGACUUUUGUCGUUGAAGGUGACGGCGACAAAGCCCUCUUCUGCCACGCGGAGCUGCCACCGGAAUCGUCGCGUCUUCCGCCUUUUCUGCUGCCACGGCGACUUCCGUAAUUUGUGAGCGAACUCAGAACUCGGCUCGUUGCACGGGAGAUGUGCGCUGGCGUCGCCGAGACUCACGAGGCCCGCAGGCGGCAGGCGUCGUCGAGAGGCACGGAGGCGCGGAGGGCGAAGGGUGAAGGGCGGAGGCAUCUAGAAGAGCAGCGUCUCUGUUUCGUCUCUCAGGUCUCAGCGUCUCUGUUUGGUUUAAACUAUGAAGUUUAGGACUUUUAGGUUUGACUUUACACUAAAUGGACUAAUCAUGUGUGGUUGAGCCUAUCUUACUAGUAUAAGAUUGCUAAAAUUAUCUAAUUGUUGAGUAACACAUACGUAGGUCGGGCUUUCGGGCUUAAAAACUUUUGUAAAAUUAGGGCCGGGACCGGCCCGAGUAUAGUUGGGCCCAGCCCGAAAUGACAGAAAAUAAAUGAGGGCCCGUAAAAAAGCCCGGUCCGGUCCGGUCUUUUUUUUCAUUUCGGGUUUUAUGCCCACCCCUACAUAUUGGUAAAAUAGUUUGUUGCAAUUUGAACAUUUUGCAAGAGAAAUUAUUCUCUGUACCCGGAACACCAUGUGGCACUGCCAUGUGGAGUUUCUAGUCAAUCAUAUAACUCAAUUUCUUGUGGGGACCAAUAGGAGGGUGAAAAAUAAAAGAGGUAAAUAAAUAGACCAAUCAGAAAUAAAAUAAAAACACUUGGAGCAAUAGUAUUAGAGGAGACCAAAUGUCACAUGGUAUUUCGGGUACAGUUUAUAAUUUCUCCAUUUUGCAAUACUCUGUAAUCUAAUUAACGAACUUCGGGUUUGUCAUGCAACUUAACAGAGUAAAUAAAGUGGGGUUUGUCUAUAGAACACUAGUAUGUCACUAUUGCAUACGGCAAAAUAGGGAAGGAUAUCUCCACGGUUCUCACUUCUCACCACACCAAGUUUCCAUUGUGUGAGGUAACAACCUUUUGAAUCAAGAACUAAGCUAAAUAUCGUUUCAAGAAACAAACAAACAAAAAAAAAAAAAAAAA
RNAcentral lists this long non-coding RNA (33386 nucleotides) under Fragaria vesca (wild strawberry). RNAcentral's name for it is "long non-coding RNA (FVES_LNC002563)". Lineage: Eukaryota; Viridiplantae; Streptophyta; Magnoliopsida; Rosales; Rosaceae. The record is from RNAcentral.